Molecule: long non-coding RNA, 643 nt
Organism: Malus domestica (apple)
Lineage: Eukaryota; Viridiplantae; Streptophyta; Magnoliopsida; Rosales; Rosaceae
Source: RefSeq, a predicted model, not a curated record
AAUGUGAUAGAAGAAGUGCACGAGAAGCUGACGAUGCUUCUAGACAAGCUUCCAAAGCUAGUUCCCAAGUAUACGAGAACAAGUACUAAAUAGUUAGCUUAUGAAACUUAUGAUAUUUUGAUAUAAGUUGUUCGAAUUUUGUGUCUUCCAUGUUCGAUUGUCACAGAGAAGUAGUCCAAACAUAGAAAGAGACAGCAUUAAGAGAAAAGAAAGGUCUAAAGCCACUUCUCAGUUAAACCUGUUGGUAUUUUACGAGGGUCUUCAUGCAAGUUACUAAAUUGGCUCGGAAAUAGACAAGUUGUUGCAACUGGAGAAAUAGAAUCAACAAAUCCUGAGGUGAAAGUUCAUCACAUGGUGCUUGAUCCUGAUUGAUGGAAAGUUUGGGUAAGAGUGGAGAAUAUAUCUUUGUACCGCCCUACAAGUGAAUUUCGUGUCGUGGAGGAUGCUAUAUCUAGUACAAUUGCCUGGCCAUCAAAGUACGUCUGAGUUGGAGAGUAAUUUUAGUUCGUACUUAGACUAGAAAAUGGUACUUUGGCACUACAUGGAUAGUAUUUUAUGACUUCCGUUGUUUAUGUAUUCAUUAGGCACUACAUGGAUAGUACUUUAUGACUUUUGUUGUUUAUGUAUUCAUUUGGAAACUCAA